GCGCUGGUUUAGCUCAGUGGUUACUUCCUCUGAUAUAUCAUUACCUGCAAUGAUCCUCAGAUCUUCCCCGUCACAGGGGAUCGAACCACGGGUGCUGUCCAGUGUUUUU
Molecule: vault RNA, 109 nt
Filed under: Gouania willdenowi (blunt-snouted clingfish)
Lineage: Eukaryota; Metazoa; Chordata; Actinopteri; Blenniiformes; Gobiesocidae
Description: Vault RNA (ENSGWIG00000025225.1)
Rfam family: Vault RNA
About the family: This family of RNAs are found as part of the enigmatic vault ribonucleoprotein complex. The complex consists of a major vault protein (MVP), two minor vault proteins (VPARP and TEP1), and several small untranslated RNA molecules.
Source: Rfam by way of RNAcentral